This 253-nucleotide ribosomal RNA is filed under the name uncultured bacterium. RNAcentral describes it as "partial 16S ribosomal RNA". It matches the Rfam family "Bacterial small subunit ribosomal RNA", at positions 524 to 776 of the family's 1533-position model. The record is from RNAcentral.
UACGGAGGUGGCAAGCGUUGUUCGGAAUCACUGGGCGUAAAGGGCGCGUAGGCGGGGCCGGAAGUCUGAUGUGAAAGCCCUGGGCUCAACCUGGGAAUGGCAUUGGAUACUGGCGACCUAGAGUGCGGUAGAGGGGUGUGGAAUUCCCGGUGUAGCAGUGAAAUGCGUAGAUAUCGGGAGGAACAUCUGUGGCGAAGGCGACACCCUGGACCAGCACUGGCACUGAGGCACGAAAGCGUGGGGAGCAAACAGG